Molecule: ribosomal RNA, 488 nt
Filed under: uncultured Corynebacterium sp.
Lineage: Bacteria; Bacillati; Actinomycetota; Actinomycetes; Mycobacteriales; Corynebacteriaceae
Description: partial 16S ribosomal RNA
Source: RNAcentral
CACGUAGUUAGCCGGUGCUUCUUAUACAGGUACCGUCACAAAAGCUUCGUCCCUGUCGAAAGGAGUUUACAACCCGAAGGCCUUCAUCCCCCACGCGGCGUCGCUGCAUCAGGCUUCCGCCCAUUGUGCAAUAUUCCCCACUGCCGCCUCCCGUAGGAGUCUGGGCCGUAUCUCAGUCCCAAUGUGGCCGUCCACCCUCUCAGGCCGGCUACCCGUCGACGCCUUGGUAGGCCAUUACCCCACCAACAAGCUGAUAGGCCGCGAGCUCAUCUUGCACCGAAAAAACUUUCCACAACUGACACUAAACAGCUGUCCUAUCCGGUAUUAGACCCAGUUUCCCAAGCUUAUCCCGAAGUGCAAGGCAGAUCACCCACGUGUUACUCACCCGUUCGCCACUCGAGUACCCGCAGCAAGCUGCAGGCCUUUCCGUUCGACUUGCAUGUGUUAAGCACGCCGCCAGCGUUCGUCCUGAGCCAGGAUCAAACUCU